RNAcentral lists this small nuclear RNA (90 nucleotides) under Microtus ochrogaster (prairie vole). The record is from RNAcentral. Lineage: Eukaryota; Metazoa; Chordata; Mammalia; Rodentia; Cricetidae.
UUAGAAAGAAGUAAAAUUGGAACUGUACAGUGAUUAGCAUGGCCCCUGUGAGAAGAUAACAUGCAAAUUUGUGGAGCGUUCCCUAGUUUU